AACGUAGGAGACAAACGUUAUCCGGAGUUACUGGGCGUAAAGGGCGUGUAGGCGGUUUGUUAAGUCUGGCGUGAAAGCUCUCGGCUAAACCGGGAGAGGUCGUUGGAUACUGGCAAACUUGAGGACGGUAGAGGCGUGUGGAAUUCCGGGUGUAGUGGUGAAAUGCGUAGAGAUCCGGAGGAACACCAGUGGCGAAGGCGGCUCACUGGCCCGAUACUGACGCUGAGGCACGAAAGCGUGGGGAGCAAACAGG
RNAcentral lists this ribosomal RNA (253 nucleotides) under uncultured bacterium. RNAcentral's name for it is "partial 16S ribosomal RNA". It matches the Rfam family "Bacterial small subunit ribosomal RNA", at positions 524 to 776 of the family's 1533-position model. The record is from RNAcentral.